Long non-coding RNA from Oncorhynchus tshawytscha (Chinook salmon), 367 nucleotides. The record is from Ensembl. NCBI's taxonomy places the organism in Eukaryota, Metazoa, Chordata, Actinopteri, Salmoniformes, Salmonidae.
GACCAGGGACUCUGUUGUCAUAGCUUCAGGGGAGAUGCUCAUUCCACCAUCAGAGGGCAUAGCUUCAGGGGGAAGAUGAACAGGGACUCUGUUGUCAUAGCUUCAGGGGAAGAUGAACAGGGACUCUGUUGUCAUAGCUUCAGGGGGAGAUGAACAGGGACUCUGUUGUCAUAGCUUCAGGGGAAGCUCAUUCCACCAUCGGAGGGCAUAGCUUCAGGGGAAGCUCAUUCCACCAUCGGAGGACAUAGCUUCAGGGGAAGCUCAUUCCACCAUCGGAGGGCAUAGCUUCAGGGGAAGCUCAUUCCACCAUCGGAGGACAUAGCUUCAGGGGAAGCUCAUUCCACCAUCGGAGGACAUAGCUUCAGGG